This 14824-nucleotide long non-coding RNA is filed under the name Lactuca sativa (garden lettuce). RNAcentral describes it as "long non-coding RNA (LSAT_LNC004613)". Lineage: Eukaryota; Viridiplantae; Streptophyta; Magnoliopsida; Asterales; Asteraceae. The record is from RNAcentral.
CAACACAACUCGUUAGAAAUCGGAGAUCUGAUCGAGAUUCGUUUUCUUGGUGUGAAGAAAGUCUCAAAGACGCAAGCAACCUGUUCGAUGAAAUGCCUCAAUGACAAAGGUACAUAAUCUUUAAUACACCUCAAAUUCAUAAACGUGAAUAAAACAUGUAAUCUAGUUUUGCCAAUGAAAAUAGAUAUGGACCCUUAUAAAGAACUAUAUAUAUUUACAUCAACAUUAUUUCAAAACAUCGACACCUUAACAUACUAGACAAAUACAAUCGUCAUAAAUCAUGAUAGUUCUAUUCAACUUUCUUCUCCUUCAUCUCCUUUGUUGGUGAGUUGACUUUGUCUUUGACUUUAUCCAUUAGAUUCUGCACAUUCUUCUUCAUCGUACUGUAGAAUUUCAUACUCUGCAUCUGCAACCUCUCCCCAUGCUCCCUUAUCUUAUCAUCAUAUUUCAUCCAAAUCACAGGCGCACUCAUACCCACCAUAGUUCCUGCACACAACUCCAACUCAUAUCAUCAUUAUCUCACGACAAUAAAUCAAACAGUUGGUGGGCAUAAGGUAAAUAGCUACAUACCUGUGUAUAGAAGAGUAAGUAGGUCUGAACAACUGCCAAUGACGGAAAGUAGCCACAGUCCAACAACCGCCGCCGCAAAAACAUACCACUCGCUUUGAGCACCAACUUUAAACACCCACCUCAUCGCCUCCUCGCCGGAAACCCUUAUCCAGUUUGCAAUUCCGGUGACUGUCUUCUCUGAUAUCCCUAGCCCCGACAUACUCGGCUCCUCUCUGUGGAAUAACCAAUAGAAUUAUAAGUGGAAAAUCCAUGAACGCCAAGUGUUCGAUGAAAUGACUUACUUGUAAAUGAGCUUAUAAAUAUUAGCCCAAGUGAAAAGAGAUGAAACAAGAAAGAUGCCGAUCCAUGAAGCGACGGUGAUGAAAUUGAAGCCGUAAACUUCCAUCACCACCCAUAACACCGUCGCGGUGGCCACCACCCCUAAACUAACUCGCUUUUUCCUCCACAUUAUUACGUCUUUCAUGGAGUAAUUACCAUGAUCUUGAUGCAAUUCGUCUGUAUUAAUUAAUUGAUUAAAUACGUGCGUGGAGAGAGAGAGAGAGAGAGAGAGAGAGAGAGAGAGAGACCUGUUGAUGAAUGAGAAUGAGGGUGAGUUGUUGUUUCAGACAUUUCCGAUGAUGAAGGAGGAUCGUGUGUUGGUUCUGCCAUUUUCGUAGAUUGUUGGAGCGAUUUCUGAGUUGUGUAUCGUGGAGAAGGUAGAAGCUUUCUUCGGUUGUAUUCUGAAUGGAAGAGAGGCAGAUGAAAAGGGAAGAACUAGAGUGCCUAGGUGUCAUAGGAAGAUAACACGUGGCAGACAUAGGGUAAUACGUGGAGGACAUUCAUGCACACCAACGAUACUUCUUCUGAUGAUUUUAUUCUUUUUCGUUCUUAUCUUUCAAAAUCGACGGGGCUCGCCGAGGUUUCAUAGUGUAAACGGUUGGUUGGAUUUGGAAAAUUCACAAAUCAUAGCUAAAGAGUUAUAUACAUAUAAAUAAAUAAAUGAAAAGAAAAAAAAACAUAAUUUAACUAAGGUCUAUUAAGGUUACAUUUUCAUGAACCAAGUAUUUUAAUAUUUGAGUUUCGAUCAAUAAUAUAUUCGAAUAGUUUGAGCGCAAGCUGAGCUCGACUUAAAAUAGAUUAAAUCGAUUUCGAGUAUUGAAUGGAUUCGAUUUCGAGUAUUGAAUGGAUUUCGAGUAUCUAAUGAGUCUAUUACAUUUAAAUUGUUUGAACGAUUUAUUAAGGUUACAUUUUCAUGAACCAAGUAUUUUAAUAUUUGAGUUUCGAUCAAUAAUAUAUUCGAAUAGUUUGAGCGCAAGCUGAGCUCGACUUAAAAUAGAUUAAAUCGAUUUCGAGUAUUGAAUGGAUUCGAUUUCGAGUAUUGAAUGGAUUUCGAGUAUCUAAUGAGUCUAUUACAUUUAAAUUGUUUGAACGUUCAUAAAGUUAAACUAUGCGAGAAACUGCACAUUACUUUACCCUAGUAAGGUCGGAAGGAGCCGGUGCGGGGAGGAGGCGUGGGGCGUUCCGCUCCGCCGAACACCGCAUUGUGGCUGCGGGUAGCGCUGCGCGGGAAGAAGCCAAGGGGAAGGGUUGUCGUGUUCUAGCUCCACCGGUGAUUGGAUAGGAAGAUUUAAUUUAUUAUUAUUAUUAUUAUUAUUAUUAUUAUUAUUUUGAAUACAACCGUUAAAAAGCUGUAUCAUUGAAAAUGUAAUUUCUUUUACCCCUCUACAACCUUUAUAAAUACCUAUAUCCAUUUACCUCCAAUCAAUUUCUCUCUAUUUUCUUCAAAAAAAAAAAUUCCGACAAUCAAACCCCAACCUCCGAUAGAAGAAAAAAAAAACUCAUGUUUAGAGUUCAAGUACCCUUACUUGAAACAUUUUUGAUAUCGAUUCAUCGUCACAAGGAGUUUAUCGUCUCCAACUCGAUACUCACAUUCAAUCUCCACUACAAUUUUAAUAUCAAAAUGUUAGAUAAUAUUACCCGGUCCAAGUUCCAAAUGUUACUCCACAAAUGUUUUCAAACUUUGGUGUUUAUCCCGAUCAACAUUCACCAAAUCAACCUCAAAUCCAAACCUAACUCCAAACCCAAACCCAAACUCAAACUCAAACCCAACAACAAUUCCAACUUGUCGAUGAGUUGGAUGACUAGGAAGAAGAGAUGGUUAGCAAAACUCAACCCACACCAUCCCCACAACGACGCAAAGGAACAACAACCGCACGAGGGUGUCACACAACCAGGAAGAUAAAGGUUGAUACUGUAACACCUGUAAAAUUCAAGCCAAUUUAACACCUUUUCAAACAUCCAAAAGUCAUUAGUUAUUACAUAUGUUUUCAAAAUAGUUUAAUAUUAGAGUAUUCCAGAAACCGUAAGUCCAAAACACGAGGAUGUGUAUGGUCAUGCCUUCGCUUUGCCAAGUCAUCUGAAGCACCUGAAACAAUAAACUAAAACCAUAAGCACAAAACUUAGUGAGUUCCCCCAAAAUACUCAUACCCACAACAAUACACAUAUAAUCAUAAACAACAUACUAAGGAUCCAGUCAACCAUCGGGUUGGAAUACCCUCGGCCCACAACCAACAGGUUGGAAUGCCAACAUAUUAUGGGUCCAAUCAUCAUCGGGAUGGAAUACCCCAGGCCCACAACCAACAGGGUGGAAUGCCCACAUACUAUGAGUCCAAUCAUCCUCGGGAUGGAAUACUCACGGCCCACAACCAACAGGUUAGAAUGCCUAGGUCUAUUGGCUUUCGCACAAAGCAGAUAAGUCUCAACCGCCAAACAAAUAUGUGCACAUAUAUAUAACAGAUAAUCACAUAACAGUCUAUAGACAACAACCGAUCUACCGAAUCAUACCACAUAGCACAUAAUACCAUCCUAUCUACCAGGAUACCGAUCUAACAGAUCAUACCACAUACUAUAUAAUAUUAUCCUACCCUUUAGGAUAUCGAUUUAACAUAUCAUAACACAUACCACAUAAUAUUAUCCUACCCUCUAGGAUACCGAUCUAAUAGAUCAUACCAACUUAACAUAACCAGAUAACAAUCCAAAGGGCCGACCUUGAUGCCUUAGACCCUUGAGUAUAGUGAUGAUAACUCACCUGACACUGCUGAAGUCCCGCAGAUGAAACUCCAACUGUUGGUUGAUAGACUCCCAAACUACUAACAUCAAACAACACCCAAUUAAUAAUUGGGUUCCAAGCCCAAGGUCUAACUCACACUCCAAAGGCCCAAAAGUCAAGUAAUGGGCCAAAGCCCAACAUGUGGCCCAAUUUUCCAAAUUGGGCCCAGACCUCUACAUGGUCUUUCCUUAAGGCCCAUUCAAUCAUUCUAGUCCAAACUCUUGGUAUUCCCAUGGCUCAAUAUCACAUAAUCAUAAAGGCCUCGACUAUGGUCCAUCUAUGGCCCAAUUUUCCAAAUUGGGCCUAACCCCUCAUAUGGGCCUUACCCUAAAGCCCAUCAACAUAUUUUAGUCCAUAUGAUCAUUCUGGGAUGGUCCAUUAAUAAUCCAAUUACCAAAGUCUAAUGGAACGGCCCAAUACAAAGCCCAAGUGAAAUUAAGGUCUCACAUAAAAUGACAAUUAGAGUUAAGUGUUUCUCACUUAACCCAUUAAGGACUUAAUCCAUUAAGUCCCUCACUUUACUAAAUAAGUCAUAUGGUGUGAUUGUGCUGAAUACACGAUUCCAUUCUGAUGGCCCAAAUAUGAGUCAUGAUAAGUCCAAGCCCAUAAUCCUAAAUUUAGGGUUUUCACAUGAAAUGAUGAUUAGGGUUAAGAGUUUCUUACUUAACCCAUUAAGGACUUAAUCCAUUAAGUCCAUUAUUUCCUUAAGUUAGUUUGCCAAUGAUUAUUAUUUAAUAUUUCAAGUGUGUAUCCCGAUCAAUUUCCACAAGUUAGGGUUUUAUGCCCUUAGGGUUUUCCAAACCCUAAUUAGGGUUUUCCAACCCAAUACUAGUUCAUUAGUCCAUUGGUUGGGCUUUUAGGUCACAUUGGGCCUUAUUAGCCCAUUAGGGUUCCAUUAGGCCCACUAGGGUUUCUUUGGGCCCAUUAGGGUUCCAUUGGUCCCACGUUGUCCAAACAUCCCCCAAACGAGGUUUAAACGCAAUUAAACCACACCUCCACCCAACACGAUAGCCGGUGGCGACAAGAGGCGGCAGCCACCACCUUACGGUGGUGGUUUCAAGUUUUCUAUUGAUUACCGACACUAUUACAAAAAUACACAAAUACACAAAUACACACUCACGUAAAUAACACACACACACACACACUUACACACACACACACACACACACCGCCGCACUGAGGCGGCAUGUGGUGGUCGGAGGUGGCAGUAGGUUUUUUUUUCUUCGGAUCUCUGGCCAAUGGACACUCCGGCAGCCUUAUACCAUCACAGCACCCGAACAUGAGCAACACAACCCGCACACCCAUCCUAUUUGCUCAGGAAAAAUAAAUCCAACUCCCACUUGCGGUGGGUAGCGGCGACAGCAGCCCAAGAAAACGGUAACAGUAGCGGCCAUUGGCGGCGGAUGGCAUCAGGAUGCAACAGUACUAGUAGCAACCGUGGCGGCUAGAGGCAAUAACAGCGGCGACAAAACGAAAUAAGAGAGGAGAGAGAGAGAUGGUGGCAUCAGCUACGAGUCGGAAAAGAAAUGGGAACGUUGGUUUUGCCGUCCGUGGUUUCACCGAUCAACAGAACAACAGCGCAAUCGGCGGUCUCGGUCUUCGACUGUGGUGGUCGCACCUGUGGCAACCCGAAAUUUAUUCCGUCAUUUUUAACCCGUUUUUCCGUUAAUAAGGCUCAUUUUAUUUAACUGUCCGUUAACUUCUGGACUGGUUAAUUAAUUUGGGACUUUUUAAAUGACUUUAUAAAGGUUGAGAUAAAUUAGAAACACCCUAAAUUUUUCCUUUGAAAAUUUUUAGUUUAAACCAAGUCAAAAUACGACCACUAAAUCGGGUGCGAUCAAAAGCCCCGUUUAACGGCAGUAUCGGGUAGAUUUCCACUGAGCCUCAACUCAAGGCCCUAUAUAAGGGGAGAGUAAACUUCAUUUCCACCCUUUUUACUCUCUCUCUCUCUCUACACUCUCUCUCUACAACUUAUUGUCGAGCAAAAAACGUCCGUUUCGAGCCCCAAACGAGUAAGCAAUCUACCCUAACUUGUUGUAUAGCUUAACUAACAUGCAAAUUCAUGUUUAAGGAAUCAAUUAGGGGCAAGAGUAGGUGUUUAAGGCCCAAGAACACUCUUGGACCGUGAAUACCCUAAAUGGGGUUUUUAAGCCCCAAAACCCCUCCAAAUUGCCCCUAAGGCUUAGAUAUGACUUGUGGAAUUACACAUUCGGACUUAGAACACCUUGAACUAAAAUUUAGUGGAGUAAACUUGAGUUUACUACCCAAGAACAUGCUCGGGCCGUAAACUCCUCUUCAUGGGGAGUAAACUCAAGUUCAAGUGUUAGAAAUACCCUCAAACAUCUCCUAUGGCCUUGGAAAAAUGUUUAGAAGCAAUCCCAUUGAUGUAAAUGCUUUAAACAUUAAAUAAAACCAAGGAAAUAGGAGUUUACGGCCGUAAACCCCCCUAGGAAAGGUCUAUGGGCCGUAAACUCCUAAAAAGUGCCCAAAUGAUGCCCUAAACUCCCCAUUUGACUUGGAAAAAUACAUAGGAUUUUAUUCUCUACCAUUUAAGACCUNAAGUCUUUAAAACACCAAAAGAAUAUGCAUAUAGGAGCUUACGGCCAUAAAAUCCUUGUUUAGGGCCGUAAACUCCUCAAAUGGUCCAUUUAAAGCUAUAAACCCCUUCAUAUGCCUUAUAUUUGGACCUAGCCUAAUUCUAUGAAUGAUAUAAGACCAUUUAGCAUGCUAGAACACUCCCACCAUGAGUUUACAGCCGUAAACUCAUGGGGAUAUGAUCUUAGGGCCGUGAACUCUAUAAAGAGUUUACUCUUGAAGAGUAAACUCCCUAUCUAGGCCAUACAUACCCAUAGAUGUUACCCGGGACACCCCUAGCACUUAAUCAAAGUGUUUUCCGCACUUCAGGAUGCAUAUACGUGUUUAAUUAGUAAUAUAUUUACUAAUUGUAUUUAAACAUAUGUCACCAUAUGUUAAUAGGUCACUAAGUGUGUUCAAGUCUUUACUUGACACCGAGCACCCAACCGACACUUUCGUACGAUCCACUUACAUCAGGUGAGUUCAUACCCAUGAAUUAACAUUUUAAAUGUUUUUACAUGCUUUUAUGGGGGGGAAUACAAGUUAAACAUGCCAGUUAUCAUAUCAAUCACAUGUGAUUGAUAAUACGCAUGCACAAGGAUUUAUUACACUGUCAACUGUUUUUACCAAGUAUGAUACUGUAAAUGGUCUUCCAAAACAUCUUUACUUGUACAAAGCUUUUCUCAAAUUAUUUCUCACGUUGUAGGUUUUACUUAAAUUCCUGUUACGGCAGUAUGUUAAACAAAGGAUUCCUUUACCCAAAAUGUUUUAUCAAAGUUUCAUUCAAAACUUGGUUAUGAAAGGUUUCCAAAGAAUUUCUAAAGGUUUUCAAACUUAUUUUAUAAAAGAAUACUAAGUCGUGAUUUUCUUAAGUAUAAAGGUUUUCCAAAGUUUUCACAGAAGUUUACUUCCAUGUUUUAUACUCCUACUUCGUUAGAUUCUACUGCCUUGUUAUAGUUCUACUUAGUUAAAUGCUACUACUUUGUUAACACUUACUUUGUGAUACACUUUUACUUCACGAUACGCUUAUACUUCACGAUACACUUAUACUUCACGAUACGCUUCUACUUCACGAUACGCUUAUACUUCACGACACACUUAUACUUCACGAUACGCUUCUACUUCACGAUACGUUCCUACUUGUUAACACUUAUACCUUGUGAAACACUUCUACUUUGUUAAACACUUAAAUUUCGUUAAAUGCUUCUACUUAGUUAAAUGUAUGCCUGUGCUUGUAUAAGUUAUAUAGUGCUUGUAUAAGUUAUAUAAAUAAUGUUUAAAGGACUUAGGAAGACUAGUUCGCCCUAUUUCCUUUUCUUCGUUGAGAUGUGGUCUGGUGGGAUCGGAUGUCCGUCCGAAGGUCGUUUGAUCAUUAGUUAUAUAUAUUAUGUAUACNGACACGGCCUUCUCCGUCGUCUAGUUGGUAACCAGAGUCUCUUGUAGGGAGAGCGGACAUUGUGUGUAUGGAUCUAUACGGGAUUGACACCCCCGCACCCUGACUGCUAGCUACAGUCCACGGCCUACCAAGCCAAGGGGUGACAAAUGUCAUACUUACACCGACGCUUGCAGGGCGUCAAGUUCUCUAGUGUCUAUCAGUAUGGUUACGAGUAUCUCGGGGUUACCUUAUAAUUCAUGGCCUUAAGGUAACGGGUUUUAACACUGUAUUCACUGUUUUUAGACCUUGCUAGACGUAUCAUUCAGUUGAUACUGUCUGGGGUCUGUGUUCACUGUUUUUAGACCUUGCUAGACGUAUCUUUCAUUUAAUACCGUCUGGGGUCUGUGUCUCCCUUUUGUUAGACUGAGCCAGGCGUACCGUUCAUUCGAUACUCUCCUGGAGUCUAUGAUUUCUUUUUGCCUUAGUCAGCAGUCUUCACUGCUGAGGCAUAUGUUAUUUUCCCUGAUACUCUCCUACUUUCUUUCAAAAUCAAUACCACAUUUUGAUAAUGAUAGUGUUAAGGAAAAAUUAUUUUUUACCACAUAACUCUGCCCAGUCUUGUUAGAAGACUGCUUUUAAUUAGAAAAUAUUGGAUUUUCUGGGAAGGACUCUAAUUCACUGUAUACUUUAAAACUACUACUUAUAUAAAGUUAUUUGGAUAAAAUGACACUAAAUACUUAUGAACUCACCAGCAUUUGUAAAAAUGUUGAUCCUUGCUUUCAAAUAACUUGUAUUCUCAUGUCAGCAAUAGACAAGUACAUUCUAGGAGCUUUUGUUGAAGACGGUUUUGUGCCAAGCUGCAUCUAUACUAGUUUCUGUUAUACUUUGAUGUUUCUAUGUAAUGUAAACCAUGUAAAACUAUUACUAUUAAUGCAAUGGUUGUUGUACUUUGAUUACUAUACUGUAUAUGUUGUGAUACUUGACAUGACGUCAUCCACCCCAGAACGUUUCCGCCGUUCCGGUUUUAGGGUGUGACAGCACCUCCACCGAAAACGACCAUAGUAGCUUUGUUACUGGUUCGCCCAUUGGCCUUCGGUAUCUCCGGUCAUGGCAGACGUCGUUGGGGGUCUUAGUUGGUCGGAGCAGCAAGCUAGUCGGGGGGAAAGGAUGGUGGCGGCCGGUUGAAGAUGAGAGGGGGGUAUAAGGGUGAUGGCUCCUAUAGAGAUUAGGGUUAGGUUUAGAAAAUGACGGAUGAAGAGGUUAAAUACCCGAUCCCUUGAACAAGUUUCCAUAAUAACGCAUUUGGUCCCUUCUUGUAAUAUUCUUUUCAAAACGAAUCCAAAAUUUACCAAUCAGACCCCGCCUUCUUAAAAUCUUAUCAUCCAAGUCCAUAACUUAGCCUUUAGUCCCUGCUUCCAUGAAUCUUUACAUAUUUAGCCCAAAUAAUAUCAAACACUCCUUGACUUAUGAAAAUCUUUACAAAUUAAGUCCUAAAAUUACACUUUAACCCCUAGAGAUUCAAUUCUUGCCAUUUGACUUCCUAAAACCAACACCCUACUAACCAUUUAAUUAAUCUAUUUAAAACGGGGCGUUACAGAUACUAUGGCUUGCACAAAAAGAGCUAGUUUUGGUAAAAACUUGGGUUGACAUUUAUGAGGAUUCGAAGACGGGAAAUGCACACCUGGGAGAUCAUUUUUGGCUUCGCAUCUUAGACCGGUUUCGGGAGGAGCAAGGAAAAGGUGGCGACUAACGUACGAAACACCAAAUGAAUUCGAAGUUUCGAGAAAUAACAAGGGUGGUUUCAAAAAUAAAUGUGUUGUAUAAUGACCUAAAAACCCAAAGAAGAAGCGGCCAAGGCGACGAAGAAAUACUUCAAGAAGCUUUGCAAUUUUACUUUGAGGAAGUCGAAAAACCAUUCAAGUGGCACGAUUGUUGGAAAAUAUUGGUUAAAAGUCCUAGGUGGAAAAAAUAUGAGCAAAAAUUUAUUUUUUUGAAUACAACAAUCAAAGCGAACGAAAACAGGCUCUUGUGGUGGUUACACAACUUCCUCCGAUGCUCGGGUCGGUCUAUAUUUAAAUGAGGACGAACUCGAGCUAGAAGAAAUUGUCCGACCGAUGGGUAAGGACAAAACAAAGAGGAAGGGAAAUGAGACUUCUUCGGGUUCAUCAGAUUUCAGCAUGGACUUUGAUGAAAUGAGGAAAAUAACAGCGUCGUUUGAUUGAUAUAAUCUUAAUUCCGCUGAACAUUUGACGUUCGACAAAGAAAAAGAAGAAACAAAGAAGAAGGAGCGCACAGAGAGACAAGAAAUGGAGGAUAUGAAGUUCUUGAUGGAAAACACCGACCAUCUCUCGGGGCCGGCUCUCGAGCUCUUGAUGAAGAAAAGAUAAAAAAUUAUGAAAAAAUAUUUUCCAGAGGUGGUUGUUGGUUUGUUUGUGUUUUCUUUUUUAAUAUUCUACUUUUUUAAAUCUUAGGUUUAUUGUAAUUUUUAUUUUAAUUAAUAAAAUGCAUUUUAUUUUUAAUUAAAAUUUAUGUUUAUUAUUAAUUUAAAAAUUAUAAAUCAUAAAAAUGUAUUAAUUUUAUUUAAAGAAAUAAAAAAACAAAUAGUAAGGAAAGUUUUCCACCCAUUUUUUGGGUUUAGGUGAGGGAAAGAAAAAUAGGGAACAAAUGACAGGAAAAAAGUGAGGGAAACUUCUCACCCAGACCCUGCGGUCUAAUAAGAAUACUAUACUUAUUUAUACACCUUUAAGUUGUGCAGAAUAAUUUUGUUUUGACAAUUCUUCUAUUUUUCUUAUAUAUGAUUUGAAACCUUUAUUUUUUUCGAAGUUAAUGACUUAUUUAUAAAAAUGAGUGUUUUCAUUUAAUUAUACAAUCGAAAGUGGAUCAUUAACUGACUUAUACAUACAUGCUUGAAUUUGUUAAAAAAAAAAAUAUCAGUUAAUAUAUGUAUAAAUCAGUAAGAAACCCAUUUAAUUAUAUAAAAUUUACAAAUAAAUUGAUAUCCAAGUUCCAACCAAAACAUAACUUCAGAAAUUGAUCAUAGCGGCUCUAUCUUCUUCUAGAGCUUCUAUUCUAGUCAACAGUGGCGAGUUUGUUGUUGAACAAGGUCUUUGCCAAGGUGAUCUACUACCUCUUUUUUCGUUUAUUAUAGCCAUGGAAGGGUUGAACGUAGUAUUAAAGAUGCUACUUUAGGUAAUGCUUUUCAUGGGAUUCAUAUAAGAGAUUCUAAUUUGGAAAUCUCUCAAUUUUUUACGCUGAUGAUGUUAUUACACUUUGUGAUUAGAAUUUGGAGAAUGCGGGACGAAUCCUACGUAUUCAAAUAUGUUUUCAUUCGGUGUAAGGGCUGAAAAUUAACUUACAAAAAGUAAGUUAUUUAGGUUAGGGGUCAGUUUAGGUCUGUAAACGAACUGAACGUUCAACGGACUGUUCGUGAACCGUUCGGCGGGAGUUCAUUUAUGUUUGUUUAUUUAACAAAUAAACGAGCAUCAAUACAAAUUUCCAUUCGUUUAUUCAAACAAACGAAUAUGAAUAAUGAUUUCGUUCAUUAAUUUAUGUUCGUAAACAUUCAUUUAUGUUGUUCGUUUACGUUCGUUUAUGUUCGUUUGUUUAAGUUUAUUUAUGUUCAAUUGUUUUUUUAUGACGUUACUAUAUUAUAUGUUCAUUUAUGACAUUUGUUUACGUUCGUUCUUUAAGUUUAUUUAUAUUCAUAUAUGCUAAAUUGUUUUUUAUGACAUUACUAUAGUAUAUGUUCGUUUAUGUUCAUUUAUGAUGUUCGUUUGCGUUCAUUUAUGUUCGUUCGUUCGUUUAAGUUUAUUUAUGUUCGUAUAUGUUCAAUUGUUUUUUAUGAUAUUGCUAUUUUAUAUGUUUAUUUAUGUUCGUGUAUGUUCAACUGUGUUUGUUUAUCUGUGUUCGUUUAUGUUUGUUUAGUAUGUUUAUGAACAUAAACAAACAAACACGAACAAUAUAAUUUGUUAAACGUACGAACAGUAACAAGAAAACUCGUUCGUUUGUUCCGUUAACUUAAACGAACAAACAUAAACAAGCCAUUGUUCGUGUUCCUUUGGUUCGUCUACAACCCUAGGUCAUUUACAACCAAGUGGAUGAGGUGGCUUGGAUGAUUGGUUAUAAUGGUACGCGACUCCCUUUAUCUACCUUGAAGUUAUGGUGGGUAAAAACAUGAAUCAUAUUGCUUCAUGGAAACCGGUUGUGGACAAAUUUGUUUUGAAUUGUUAGAAAGAAAAAAAAUGCUUUCAGUACGUGGGAGACUUACCUUAUUGAAAGAGAUGCUGGGAAGUUUUAGUAUUUACCACAUGUCUAGUUUUAAGGUGCCAAACUCGGUUUUGAAGUUGUUAGAGUGUUUAAGGGCUCGAUUUCACUAGGUUAUCCGGAAAACGAUUAUGUCGAGUAAGAAGUGGAUGGUUUUGGAGUGGGAGUUUUUUUGUUUUGUUUUUUUUUUCCUUCAAUAGAGCUCUUUUGUUUACAUGAAGGUGGACAUUAUUUUAGCAGAAUAAACUCUUUGGGUUUGUGUGAUCAAAAGCUAUACAUGGCCCAAAUGCAUACCUUCAUCAAGUUGAAGCUGCUUUGCAUUCUCAAGGGCUUUGUUCAAGCCAUUAGAAAACUCCACUCAAAAGGGGUAAACCUGCAAGAUUUAUAUAACAUCAAAGUUGGCAAUGGAAAGAAUGUUAAGUUCUGUAUGGAUCUAGCUUGGAAAUGUUCCACUUAAAGACAAACUUUCGAGAAUAUAUGCCCUAGAUUUGGAUAAAGGCGUCAUCGUUGUAGAUUGGUUCCAUAUUGCAAAAAAUACAACACCAAUAGUACCGGAAAGGACAGUUUCAAUAUUGCCCAUACACAAUCCUUUGUAUAGACAUUGGGGCUGGAGGACGCUAAGAUGGAAUAUGUCUGCUAAAAAGGUUAUCAAUAGCGAUUGCGAGGAAAUAGCGACAACCCACCUAUACGCUACGUAGCGAUAGCGAUGAAAUAGCAACACCUAUUUCAUGUUUUGUGAUUUCUUAUAAAAUUAAACACUAUAUUUACUUGCACCUAUGCAGCAAUCAAAAAUAACAUAGAACUAACAAGUACCAGUUCUAUUAAGCUAACAUUAAGUUGCAAAAUAUGUUUACCACAAAAGAUUGGUUAGUUUUAGACUCUAAAGUCUAAAUUUAAGUUCUAAUACGACAAAAGAAUGGUUAUUUUUAGACUCUAAAGUCUAAAAUUAAGUUCUAAUACCACAAAAGAAUGGUUAUUUUUAGACUCUAAAGUCUAAAACUAUGUUUCAAUACCACAAAUCGAUUUUGGUGAGGUGUGUUAUUGUCGCUACUGUCGCAGUAGUGAGAAAUAACCCGCCAAAAUCGAUUUUGGUGAUUUUGGUGUCGAUCGUACAAUCUUAGUCGAUUAGAGGGGAAAACAUGAAAUUGACUGUACGAUUGCCUGCCUAAACCUAUUCCGAGCCUAAUUGCUACGUUUCUUACCGAUUUAAACAAAAAAAAAAUUUGCCGAACAUUGCUACACACGCUAUUGCUUCGCUAUAGGUAUCGUAGCGACCCAUCACAGCUAUGCUACGCUAUUCGCUAUAGCGAGUGUAGCGAUCGCUAUUAACAACCUUGUCUGCUAAUAUGCCCAAAGUCCGCGUCACAAUGUCACAAUCUGAUGAGAGGUUAUUCCUCUUGGAACAAAAGGAUUGUCACAAUCUAAGGAGAGGUUAUUCCUCUUGGAACAAAAGGAUCAUGACUCGCUUUUUUGGGUUGUUGAGGAGAGAGCCAAGAGGAGGUUUAUAGGUAACCUAGUGGAAAGUGUUUGUUGCCCAAAAUUGUGAUUACAAUGCUUCAAUAGAGCAGUACAGUUGGUUUAGGACUUGGACACUUCAGUUGUUUUUUACGUGUCACCAUGCUUUUUCCUGGAUGGUGAUACUUUGACCACUAAGGGACGAGGGAGUCAUUCCCGUCAAACCCACUAACACAACAGUUUUUAUUAUUAUUAUUAUUAUUAUUAUUAUUAUUAUUAUUAUUAUUAUUAUUAUUAUUAUUAUUAAUCUCUCUUUUCUAUCUUUCCCAACUCACAACACAUGGAAAUCCUAUCUUUUUUAACCCACUCAACCCACUCAAUUAAAAAAAUAUACAAAACAACUAAGGACAAGUUUUAAAACACAUGGUACAAGAGAAAAUAAGAAAGAGAAAGUAGAGAAAGAUGAUGAAGUGGGUUAGUGAAACCAAUCAACCCACUCGUUGAAGCGUGAAUGGUACCGCCGAUAACUCUAUUGCAAAUUAAGAUUUUACAUUUGAUUGUUUUGUANNNNNNNNNNNNNNNNNNNNNNNNNNNNNNNNNNNNNNNNNNNNNNNNNNNNNNNNNNNNNNNNNNNNNNNNNNNNNNNNNNNNNNNNNNNNNNNNNNNNNNNNNNNNNNNNNNNNNNNNNNNNNNNNNNNNNNNNNNNNNNNNNNNNNNNNNNNNNNNNNNNNNNNNNNNNNNNNNNNNNNNNNNNNNNNNNNNNNNNNNNNNNNNNNNNNNNNNNNNNNNNNNNNNNNNNNNNNNNNNNNNNNNNNNNNNNNNNNNNNNNNNNNNNNNNNNNNNNNNNNNNNNNNNNNNNNNNNNNNNNNNNNNNNNNNNNNNNNNNNNNNNNNNNNNNNNNNNNNNNNNNNNNNNNNNNNNNNNNNNNNNNNNNNNNNNNNNNNNNNNNNNNNNNNNNNNNNNNNNNNNNNNNNNNNNNNNNNNNNNNNNNNNNNNNNNUAGAAAACUAAAACUGAGUGAAAUAUUUAUGUAUAUUUUCCCUUUUUGUUAUUUUUCACUUUUAUCGGGUACUUUCUAGUAUUUUGAGCUUAAUUGCAGGAUUUACUGAACACUUUUCGUCAUUGGAGGUAGGGAUGUGCGCGAUGCAGUUUAGAGUCAAAACUACAAACCGCAUCGCAUAUGCAGUUUGAAUAUUUUAGAAACUGCCAACCGCACCAUAGAUGUUCAAAAUCACGUUAUGCGGUGCAGUUUGAUGCGGAUGGGUUAUGCGGUUUGGUUGUUGUUUGGUUGUUGUUUGUGCGGUUUGAUGAGUUGUUCAACAUUAAAUCUAUCAAAAAACCAAAAAACUGAUCAGGUUAAAAAAAAUUGAUUGCUUUUAUUUUAUAAAAACAAAUACAAUUUUCGAGUUAAAUCGUUUUUAAUAAAUUGUGAUUCAUGCUACUAUAGUUUUGCAAGUAUCAUUGUUAUUGUUUUAUAUUGCCGUUAUAGUUGUUAUAUUC